GAGCGUCAUUUCAACCCUCAAGCUCAGCUUGGUAUUGGGUGUCACUUAGCAAUAGGUGCAUCUUAAAAUCAGUGGUGGUGCCAUCUGGCUUCAAGUGUAGUAAUUCUCUCACUUUGGAGGUUUGGAUGUGUGCUUGCCAUCAACCCUCUAAUUUAUCAAUGGUUGACCUCGGAUCAGGUAGGGAUACCCGCUGAACUUAA
This 200-nucleotide unclassified non-coding RNA is filed under the name soil metagenome. RNAcentral's name for it is "partial contains internal transcribed spacer 2 and large subunit ribosomal RNA". The record is from RNAcentral.